AAAGAGAUCUUUCUUGCCAAACUGAGAAGAGAAAAACUUGCCAGGAAGAGAACAGCAUGUAUUCAGGAAAGUCAAACUAGGCUGGAAGGGCUAAAGAGCUAUUUAGAAGAGAGGGUUCAUGCAGGGGGAAUGCUGGACAGCACAAAGAAUCGGACUCCCUUCUUGGGUUCCGUUGUGUCUUUACUAUGGAAAAAUGUGAAUACCAAGCCUAAGACUCUACAAAUCUCAAUUCAAUUAUUUUGUUUACUCAAGCUACACUAGAGAAGAUGCCAGAACUGCAGUGAACGCAUGUUGAUAACCUAGAAGAUUCCUUUGUAAAGAAUGACAGAAAGAGUGACUUUCCGAAUAUUAGCAAGAUUUAAUGGUUGGGGCUUAUACAACUUGAACCAAUACCAAGAUUAUGGUUACCUGAGUGAGUGAUUCCUGCAGUUUCUGAACACAAGGCGGAAAGCAGCAGGCUGACACGGGGAGCUGUGAGCGUAACACGCACGGUCCACAACGACAUGAAAGCACAGAGGGAUUUCUGGAAAGGGGUGACAUACCCACUGGAACCAUGUCCUGGUACUGUGGCCUACUGACUGUAUUGAAUGUGCUGGACGGCCUGGGGAGAACCGGCGGUCCCGCGUGCCGAGAAUCUUCUCCUACCUGCAAACACAAGCAUCAUUUAUGUUCUGCAUCAGGAGCUAGAGGACUUUGUAUCAGCAUACCGAACCAAUUCGUUCAAAAAAUUUAACAACAAACAUGGCAAAGUACCAGCCAAUCAGAACUCAUAGCAGACUUGGGAUUCUUGGUCUUCAAAAGACCUGCUCUAGUGGCUGAAGGGGAGAAAAGUUGAGGUAUCCACAUCCUUGAAAGGAGUUGGGGCAGUGAGUAUUUUUAUUUUAUUUGUUCUUUGUAGGUAGUGAGUAUUUCCAAGUGGCACAGAAGUAGUUCAAUAUGCUUGUAAUUACUGGGGCUAUGGCAGUUAAAUAGCAGACUCAUUGAUCAGGAAUAACUCCUGCAUUGACAGAACACAAACCUGCAACAAUACAAUCAAAGGGCAGAACUGGGAGGUACAAAGUGUAUUGGGAAAGUGCCAGGAUAUUCCUUCUUUUGGCUAAAGCAGACCAGGGAAUUCCCUGUCUCAGCAGAGGAGGAAACCAAGAGCAGCACUCUUCCUAUGGGGUUCCGAGUUAGUGUAUCAUCUCCUU
Molecule: long non-coding RNA, 1190 nt
Organism: Sciurus carolinensis (gray squirrel)
Lineage: Eukaryota; Metazoa; Chordata; Mammalia; Rodentia; Sciuridae
Exons: 3
Source: RefSeq, a predicted model, not a curated record